AACGAACGCUGGCGGCAGGCCUAACACAUGCAAGUCGAGCGAGAACUUCGGUUCUAGCGGCGGACGGGUGAGUAACGCGGGGGAAUGUUCCCUUCUCUACGGAAUAGCCCUGGGAAACUGGGAGUAAUAACGUAUACGCCCUAUUGGGGAAAGAUUUAUCGGAGGAGGAUGAGCCCGCGUUGGAUUAGGUAGUUGGUGGGGUAAUGGAAUAACAAGCCGACGAUGCAUAGCUGGUUUGAGAGGAUGAUCAGCCACACUGGGACUGAGACACGGCCCAGACUUCUGCGGGAGGGAGGAGUGGAGAAUCUUGGAAAAGGGGGGCAACUCUGAUCGAGCCGUGGCGCGGGAGUGAUGAAGCCCUUAGUGGUGUAAAGCUCUUUCAGCUGGGAAGAUAAUGACGGUACCAGCAGAAGAAGCCCCGGCUAACUCCGUG
This 433-nucleotide ribosomal RNA is filed under the name uncultured bacterium. Its description in RNAcentral is "partial 16S ribosomal RNA". It matches the Rfam family "Bacterial small subunit ribosomal RNA", at positions 29 to 507 of the family's 1533-position model. The record is from RNAcentral.